UGCCCGGUCGUCUAGAGGCAGGACUCCGGUUUCUGGUACCGGCAACGGUGGUUCGAAUCCAUCCCGGGCAG
RNAcentral lists this transfer RNA (71 nucleotides) under Actinomycetota bacterium. RNAcentral describes it as "tRNA-Gln". It matches the Rfam family "tRNA". Rfam says of the family: Transfer RNA (tRNA) molecules are approximately 80 nucleotides in length. Their secondary structure includes four short double-helical elements and three loops (D, anti-codon, and T loops). The record is from RNAcentral. Lineage: Bacteria; Bacillati; Actinomycetota.